RNAcentral lists this ribosomal RNA (677 nucleotides) under Bacillus subtilis. RNAcentral's name for it is "bacterial SSU rRNA". It matches the Rfam family "Bacterial small subunit ribosomal RNA", at positions 38 to 700 of the family's 1533-position model. Lineage: Bacteria; Bacillati; Bacillota; Bacilli; Caryophanales; Bacillaceae. The record is from RNAcentral.
GGCGGGGUGCUAUACAUGCAGUCGAGCGGACAGAUGGGAGCUUGCUCCCUGAUGUUAGCGGCGGACGGGUGAGUAACACGUGGGUAACCUGCCUGUAAGACUGGGAUAACUCCGGGAAACCGGGGCUAAUACCGGAUGGUUGUUUGAACCGCAUGGUUCAAACAUAAAAGGUGGCUUCGGCUACCACUUACAGAUGGACCCGCGGCGCAUUAGCUAGUUGGUGAGGUAACGGCUCACCAAGGCAACGAUGCGUAGCCGACCUGAGAGGGUGAUCGGCCACACUGGGACUGAGACACGGCCCAGACUCCUACGGGAGGCAGCAGUAGGGAAUCUUCCGCAAUGGACGAAAGUCUGACGGAGCAACGCCGCGUGAGUGAUGAAGGUUUUCGGAUCGUAAAGCUCUGUUGUUAGGGAAGAACAAGUACCGUUCGAAUAGGGCGGUACCUUGACGGUACCUAACCAGAAAGCCACGGCUAACUACGUGCCAGCAGCCGCGGUAAUACGUAGGUGGCAAGCGUUGUCCGGAAUUAUUGGGCGUAAAGGGCUCGCAGGCGGUUUCUUAAGUCUGAUGUGAAAGCCCCCGGCUCAACCGGGGAGGGUCAUUGGAAACUGGGGAACUUGAGUGCACAAGAGGAGAGAGGAACUCCACGUGUUACGGUCAAAUGCGUAGAAAUGUG